This is a long non-coding RNA of Rhagoletis zephyria (snowberry fruit fly), 808 nucleotides long. RefSeq lists it as uncharacterized. The record is from RefSeq and is a predicted model, not a curated record. NCBI's taxonomy places the organism in Eukaryota, Metazoa, Arthropoda, Insecta, Diptera, Tephritidae.
UAAGAAUCAAUGAACACAGAGCGGACGCGAGAAACAAAAAGAUGACAACAGCACUGGCUCAACACUUAACAACGCACGAACAUAUAGCGGACUUCGGCAACACAGAAAUUUGGACAUCGAAAGAGGAGAAAGAAGGAGAAUGACACUGGAGAGCCUACGAAUACAACAACAAUUGGACAACGCAAUCAACUUUAAGGAAGACGUCGACAACAUGAAGAACACAUAUGCAGCCGUACUAAAACUAAAAUAUAAAUAAGAAUACUUCAAUAAUUCUUCCUAAAUGUUGUAUUACCUUCAAUGUGUGCAAAUUAAUGUAAAAUUCUUGUCAAUAUUUAAUACUCCCUGAAGAUGACACGAGAGUGUCGAAACGCGUAGGAGGGACAAGGGAAAAAUAUAAGCAUUUCGCCUUUUACUCCAUCGGCCGAAGCAGCUCCAACCCAGCAAACAAAAUUCAUUGGAAUUUGGCCCAUACAAAGACAAUUAUUACCAUCGGUGAGCAAACCCGAGAAAACAACUAAAAAGACUCCCUGAAGAUGACACGAGAGUGUCGAAACGCGUAGGAGGGACAAGGGAAAAAUAUAAGCAUUUCGCCUUUUACUCCAUCGGCCGAAGCAGCUCCAACCCAGCAAACAAAAUUCAUUGGAAUUUGGCCCAUACAAAGACAAUUAUUACCAUCGGUGAGCAAACCCGAGAAAACAACUAAAAAGGUAAACAAAAAAAGUAAACAUGAAGCAAUUUUACCAACAUAUAAGACUUAAAUACAACGACGAGACAUGCUACAUAAUAAAGCAAUACAACAAAAACAUGA